Long non-coding RNA from Passer montanus (Eurasian tree sparrow), 8635 nucleotides. RefSeq lists it as uncharacterized. The transcript has 3 exons. The record is from RefSeq and is a predicted model, not a curated record. Lineage: Eukaryota; Metazoa; Chordata; Aves; Passeriformes; Passeridae.
GUGAGUGGCAGCGAGGUCACUCAGCGACCCAGUGAGCACUGGAGCUCUGCGACCUGCAGCACUGUGGCCCCUGCUCAGGAACAGCAUGUCAAAAGAGCUGGCUGUGCACUUGGGAUGUAUCAUCUUGGCUAUGUUUUCACAGAAUCCAAAUAAUCCUUUCCACUGUUUACCUCCUUGAGGCUCACCUACUCUACUGUACAAUCUACUGAUAAUACACUGGUAACAGCAGCAAUGCAAAUUCCUGACUGCAAGUUUCCAAGUCCCAGAAACCAGAAAACAAAACCUCCUCUGAUGAUCUGAAUCAUUCCCUGCCAUUUUAAUGUAAGGCUGUGUGAUGCAGAGGUACCACAAGCCUCUACCUUAAACCACCGAAGACAUUUAAAAGCAAUUUCUCAGCAGUUUACAAUAUAUUAAAAGGUCACAGUGGGAGGGAAGAGGGACUAUACCAUCAGUUAUGUAGGAUUUUUAUCUGAUAAUCUCUAACAAACAUGGUUAAUACAAUUUUUGGUAAGUGAAAAUGAGCCACUCAUCCUACUCCUUAAUGUUUGCUAUGGUCUUGGUAAGGAAGCAAUAGCACUCUGGACCUUUAGCAUUUUAGACCUACACAUUUCAGUUUCAGUGCAAUGCAGCAGCUGAUGAAGGGGGUUCAGCUGAGGGGAGGGAGAUUGUGUAUGAGUGAUAGAGCUGUAAAAAAGGAAUGGCACACAGCAGAGCUCAUCAUGUGCUGUGGUUCUUUAGAAUUUGUAAAGAUCUGAGCACCAGAUGAAAGAUCCUUUAGUCUACACAGUCAUUGUACCAGGAGAGCUCCCCAUUCCUUUGAUGAUCUGGAUCCAUUGCAGACUGCCAGCAUCCUUCCUGCUUUUGAAGCUACCCCCAGACUGGCUGGAUACCUCAUGCUGUUUCACCUCCCUGUUGGCAGAAAUGCGUGGCUGUGCAUGACCUGCGGCCGAGCGCAGCCAGCCACCCCCUCCAUCAGCCCUAUUACAGCUGCCUUUGAUGGGCAACUGCCAGCGGGGCUGUGGGAUACAAACUGUGUGCCCAGAAAAGGAUUCAGACACAAACUGAGCAGGUGGAUCCAAAAGUGAGUGGCUUUUCAAAGGGCACCCCACUGCAAACAGUGCCUGGUAGAACUUUAAAGGCUUUUAUUCCAUUUGCUGAUAACCUCUAACACAUUAUAUGCCUUUUGUUGAGCUUAGACACCCUUGCUGUCAGCUCCAGGAAUGAGUGCUGGGCUGACAGCUGAAUCUCUCUCUCCUUUUAAUGGCUCUGCUUGUGCAAUUCUUUCUUUUUAACAAGUCUGUCAUAGCCUGGAGGAGGGUGUGAGUGCGCGUGCAUGUGUCAGGGGAGGAAGAGCCACAGUAGAGUCUAAUAAACUUCAAAGAACAGUUUUAGGACUUUUACUAUCUGAGAGAUAUUGGCUUUCAGAAUGCUUUCUGGUAGGUGGGUUGCAGUCAGUUGCUUUUGGGUGGCUAAAGUAUAUGACUUUUAUAAUAAAUCCAGUAGUGGCAGUGAUGAAGGUUUUAUGCUUUCAGAGGUACCAUGAGGAUUGGGGGGGGAAUACUGUACAACCAUUAAUCACCGGCUUCAAAAAAUCUCUCUUUGAAUGUUACCAAAUUACAAAAUGCUGAGCAGCUUAAGAGACUUAAAAGCUCAUGGGUUACCAUUUAAGAUAAAAGGAAUUGACAAUGAUGAUUCACAGUCCUUCUUUAUCUGUAGAUGUCUUCAGUUACUUCAGAUAAGCAGGUAAAUUUAGUGAUUCACAGAAAAGGAAACAAAAAGGGAACAUACUAAGCAGUUAUGUCAGAAGAUGCUAUAUAAUAAAGCCAUAAGCAGUGAAGCACUCCAUUCCAUGUGAAAAAACUGGCACUCUGUUUACAAAGUAAGACUGUUCUGCAGCUGCAUUGCCUUGGAAGCUUACCCUUGAAAUUCAGCUUGUCCCAACAGGGCCCUGGGUCUAGGCUGAAAAUGACUUGUCGAUGGCUGGGCUUCAGUUACAGAGUUUGCUGCAGGCUCAGCUUCUACCUCAGAACCCUGGGGAAACUUAUCUGUAAAAGUCUGCCUCUGAAUUCAGGAGAACUGGCAUAAUACUAAACUAAGACUACUGGAAAGUGUUAUGGUCACAGAACCUGUAGACAGCACAGAUUCUGAGCCAGGUGGGUGCUAGGAAGAAGGACAGGGGAAAGCAGCUUUCCCAACAGAAUUACUUUAAUGUGACUGAAGUAAUGUUUUUCUCCCCAGUCUUGUUCUCCAGGUAGAUAAGCCAUUUUACAAAAUUUGGUCCAAGAAAGAAAAUUUAGCCCAAGUAAGAAAAAAAAAAUACAGUAUGGAAAACCAGUAUACACUGGCUGAACAUUUAGUAUUAUAUGCAAUUUAUAAUGAGUUUAUAACUAUGAUUUAUAUUUCAAGCAACCUUUAUAAUAAACUGCAUAAUCAGUACUUUCUACAAGCACUGUAGCUAUCUAUUUGCUGGUAUCAGCAAACAGAUAGCUAUUUAUUAUGCAGGAGAUAUAUAAAGUAUGUGGCAUGUACCACAGUAAAAACAAUACAUAUGGUGCUUUAUUCUGAACUACAUAUACCGGGUUUGUUUCUGUGUGGAAAAAGGGACAGUAUGGCAGUAGCUGGGUGAAGAAGCCCUUAGUCAUUCUUUUCACUGAAUGCUGGUGACCUAUCACCCAGGCAAGGAGAAGGGGAAACAGGGAUCUCUGUCAAAUGACAGCCACAUGAGAGAGGACACAUGCAGGGCUGCUUUCCAUUCCCCACAUUGCUGGCUUACUAGAAUAUGUGACUGCCUCUGUCCAGCAGAGGAGUUCUCUGACCUAGAAGAAACAUCUCCAGCAGGCCCACUCCACUGUAACUCACUGCAGCACUUUUUCAAGGCCAAUGGAUUAGCAAGAAUGAAAACUGAGACUACUGGCUCCCAGACAAACAGCACGGGACAGAAACCAUGCCUGUAUCUCAUGGAGGGUUUCCUCUCUGCUUUCAGUGAGUCAUGAAAGAUUCAUUUCUGAGGGCUAGUCCCAGUUCAGUUCUCAUCAAUAAUGCUUCUCAGUGAGGGAAUUACUGCAUCACAAGAAAGCAAAUCUGACUGAGGUGCCUGAAGGGAAGGGACAAAAGGACCAGAAUCACAACCUGAGAGACUCAGCAACUUCCUUGAAGUCACACCAGACAGACCUUUCUGAACCUGAGGAAUGAGAACUGUCCACAGUGGUGGAGGUGAGUACUCACCAAGGCUUUGCACAACACUUGCCUUUUCUAUGGAAAUAUCUUGCCUGACACAGAAGAAUGCAUUUGCCUGUGUCACACUGGUGGCUCACAGUCACCUUGUGAUCUACUCACGCCUCCAGGAACAUUUACCUACUCAAAAUUGUAGCAGAAAAUUGUAGAACUUCCCCUGAUACUGUGCUACCUAUUCCUAGAGUAACGUUUUUCACAUGUGGUUUAUUGAGGUGGGGGCCCUCUUCUGUCAGAGCCUCAGCUGGGUAUGUGGCCUGUAGUAACAUACCAUGAGACACAGAUUUUUCUGCUUCAUGGAUGCUGUGAAUGCAGAGAAUGCCAGUGUGAUGAAAUUAUGAUACUUUUAAUAAAAGAAACCAUAAAACAACUUUCCAGCACACACUUGGUAAUUGGCUUGCAAAACUGGUGAAGUCCAGAGAGCUGCCAGGCUAUUUCUAUUCAGUUAAAGAGACAUUUUGAUGCAAGCCCAGUGUGACAAGACAGGCCCUUGCAUGUGUCCAACUGUGCAUCUGAUGGAUCAGCAGAGUGAGGCUAGAGAUUAAUACCCUUGCCAGGAGUGUCCUCUGUCCAGAUGAUUUACAAGGAAAAGACAGUCUUCAAAGAGCAAAGAUUUCAAAUGACAUUUGAAUCCUAUUCAAAGGAGAUUUAUGAGCUAAAACCUAUGCUUUGAGUUAUAUUUGAAAACAAACUGUUAGCCAGUGCAUUUUCAGACCACGCUUUCCUCUCUGCAAAGGGCUGCACAAAGCAAAUGAAUGCUGACAUAGCACACACUGAACUGACUCACUACAGCUGUACUAACUGCAUUCCCAUAGUCUGAGGGAACACUGGACAGGAAUGCGAUUCUAUACAUUGCAGCCCACAAUUUAAGAAGGAUGCGAAGAUCUUCUAAGGUGCCAGAAGAAGGUAGAAAAGGUGGUGAUGCAACUGAAAGGCAGGUACUGUGGGAAGUGGCCAUGGCACCGGGUUCAUCUAGCUUGGACAGAAGGUGGCCCAGGGGUGACCUCAUUGCUCACUACAGCUUCCUGAGGAGGGGAGGUGGAGAGGGAGAUGCUGAGUUCUCCCUGGGAUCCAGGAUGCAUAUGAAUGGCUCAAAGCUGUGUCCCUUAGGGAAGUUCAGACCAGACAUGAAUAAUCAGUUCUUCAGCAAGAGGGUGGACAAACCCUGGAACAGGCUUCCUACAGAGGUGGUCAAUGCCCCAUGCCUUUGUGUGUAGUUUCCCAGGACUUCCCUCACAGCCCUCUUGUAAACUGGAAUAACACUGUUAAACCUUCUGUCAUCAGGAACCUCCCCACACUCCCAAGACCAUUGACAGGUGAUGAGAAGGGUCCUGCUCUAACAUUUGCUACCUCUUUGGCACUCUUAGACAAUUACAAACCAAGUUUGGUUUGUAUCUCAGCUCUGUGGCUUGCCUCAUGUCUACAGAACAUUUCUAACCAGGAAAACUGCACAAGAUAAACCUCCAGUUUUCCACAUAACCUGUUUUGCACUUGUACUAAGGACAAGCUAUUAAUUUCUAGAGAUCUGAAUUUAGAUCUAGAGAUGUUCAGAAAACCUCUUACAUAAUGAUACUGCAGGACUUAGCAAGUGUUUGUAGCAGUACUGAUACGGGCAGAGGACGAGGCAAAUUCUGAAGUCCUUAUUAGUAUCACUUUUACUCAAAUGUAACUACUGCCGAAGUCAGCAGAAGGGUACCCAGGGAUACUGGGCAAGGCCUGUUCUCUACUUACUGAUUUCUGACUCCUAUUUCACCAUUUAUUUAUUUUUACUGAAUUUUGCUUCCUCCCUUUAUUAGCUUGAAACAGCUGACAAGCCACCACCUGAAGCACUUAGAAAAACAAUGACAAUAUCAAGCAGCAAUUUGUGGUCUAUGAUACAGGACCACUUAACUCUGCUCAAAAGAGCAUGAUAUUGAUUAAAAAUAAAAUAAAAUAGAACAAUCAGGAAAUAAAGAAUAUAUAAUAGGUACAGUGUUCCAGCUACGUGCUGCUUCCUUUCUGCUCAGUGGUAAUUUGUUAUACUAACUGUACAUUCCAAGGUGGGGUGAUGGAGACUGUGCCACUGAAGACAUGAAGGAAACAGUUUACCUCUGGAAGGCAGAUGACCACCUGUGCUGUAUGACACACACCACAGUACAACUUGGUGAAAUACUGGAACACAUUCAAAAGUUUCAUAAAUAGGAAGGAGCAGGUAUUCAAGUCAGUGGUUGCAUGAGAUUUGGGAUCUAAUAUGUAUUUAACUUAAACAGCAGUGUCAUCUUAUUAGCAGAGCACAGAGGGUUGUCAAACUGUCUCUUAAGAAAUGUUAACCAGACGUUUACUGUUAAGUUACUGCUAGAAAAUGUUGGAACUGCAUAUGUUGGUUCAAAAUGCUCAUCCUAGCAGGGAAAAGCACUUAUGUCCCCAGCAUACAUUUUUUCCUGGAAUGCAUGUACACACAUCACUGAUUUCUGUCUUUCUGAAUCUGCAGAUCCUUAACAAAUUUUCAAGGAAGAUGUGGAACUCUACAUAGCAGACUUCAACCUGCCAAUGAGAGGUUUGCUUCUUUUAGGUACUUUUUGCAGACCUCAGAGAGCAUAAAAAAACCCCACUAUGAGAGAGGCACUGUUAUCUGUAUGUGAAGAGACCCCAGUAUGACAGCUGAAGGGAAAUCAGUUUACUCACAUCCAGCUGGACUCUGCUUUACUGAAACCAAUGCUUGCCUUACCACCAACACCAGUAUGACAGCUGAAUUGAGGCCAAAGGGCUUUUGAAGUCACCACUGGCAUGGUAAAGCCAGAAUACUUCAAUUAAAAAAAAAAAUCUGAAAAGAUCAAUAUAGAAAGACUGAGACCACAGAAAUUAAACCCUCUUAAGAUUAACUUAAAAGAAUAGAACACAAUUGGAACAUGCACUGUGAAGUCACUACAGACAAUACACUGUGUAGUGUGUUUACACAAGUAGUCAGGGAACAAAGCAAUUGGUGCAAGUUUUGUGAUGUAUCAUCACUCAGUAUGAGGUUUCAAGUGAACACCGCCCUGGGUCAUUCCAGCACUGUCCAGGAUGACUGAACUGUGGGUAAGUCCUGAGGAAAAUCCUGGCCUCAGAAAAGUCAAAGGGAGUUUCCCUACUGACUUUAAUGAGAUCAAGAUUUUACCUAACAGGAUUAUAAAGACUAUGGCUUCUCUGACAGAGAUACAAAAUUAGUGAACACAUAGGGCAGUGCCUCUGAAUUUCAGUCAGGCAUUUGAUACUGUGCCUCAUGAAAGCCUGCUAUAAAUAUCGACUCAUACUGCCUAAGACAGGAACACUGCUGCACUGAUUGAAAGCUGCUGGCAAAUGGCAAAGGAUUGAGCUGGGGAGAAGUGUCUAUGACAACAGUUCUCAAAACUUUCUUCUUGUAUCCUAGAGGAAAGCACAGUCUGUGCCUCCACAUUAUCAGGAAGACGGCCAAAGGACACUUCCCACCCACAAAAGUAAGGGGUGCUUACCCAUGAGGUGGAGAUGCCCUUUGCAAGGCUGAGCCAUACCCAGUGGGUGCUUGCACUCAUUUCUGUGCCUGACCUGAGGCAGGUUCAGCAGCAUCACUCUCUCCUGUCCUGGGAUCCUCCCUGGCCCCUGUUCUCAGACAUCAGCCCUGGUAGACAUGCCACAACUGAAUUUACUCUGGUGUGUGUUCCAGGGAUGAACUGGGAGUAGUUUACAUGGCUUUCUCUGACUGAAUCCUGCCUCCAUUCUGCCUCCAAGGCCCAGAAAAGUUCUGCUACUGACUCCAAGGAGGAGCAACAAUUUCUGGCUCCUGCUGUUUCCCUCUGCUUCUGCUUUGCAAUUCUGCUUGCCUCCUUCUCUGGCUCACAUCUUAUGGGCUACUGUAUCUCCAAGUGUGCUCCUGCCUCAGUCUUCUUCCGGCCACACUCCCUGCUCCCCUCAGGGUUGCUCUUCUAUAAUGAACAGAGGAAUAGCAUGAAAAGACAAAUUCAGGAUAAAAACUUGGCAAACCUUGCAGGCAAAGAUAACUUAGCUUGUAAACAGACUUUCAGGGUGAUGGAAUAACCCUAAAGUCUAAAAUUAAACUAAUAAAUAGGAACGAUGCAACCUGUAAUGUAAAGGCUCUGAUCCUCCAUCAUGAAUGCUGACUAAUGGUUUUCUUUAGACUUGAGCAAGCAAGCACAAUUGAUGCACAUAACGCUGCAAAACAGCAAAACAUUCCAAUGGGUGAUCCUCCUCAGGAUCUUCCUGGUUCUGGGAGGCAUUCUGGGACACUCAGAAGACUUAAAUAUUCCUUCUUUCCCCAUUCCCAACCUGAUGAGUGAUUUAAGACAAGUCAUGCUGUACCUUUGUGCCCUGUUUGUCUUCCCUACCCUUUGUGUUCCAUGGAGAAACUGAUCUUCUUUGUAAAUACAAAAUGCAGUAGUAAAAAACCUUGUGUCAUCUUCUUCAGGCAGAAGAAAAUAAGGUAGAUUACAAAAGAAAGUAUUUAAAAAGAUGGAAACAUGGAUUUGAAAGGUUGUUACACAAGAGACAUCCUUGAUCUGCAGGGGAGUGCUGGCCACAGAGAGUACUACAUUAACCACAGCUGCUUUGUACAUCCCCUUUCAGCCUCAGAGCUGAACCCAUUACGUGGCUCCUGGGAACACACAUUCCCUAAGAUCCAGAGUUGGGUUACUGUUAUGUAUUGCACUGCAGCUGACUGUGGAAUGAAUAGUCAUGCUGAGGAAAGCAAACAAGGUCCUGGAGAUCACUUUCAGCUAUGAGAAAGCUUCUUUAUUUUUAUACCUCCUAUUUAACUGCUAACCCUUUUGUUUGAAAGGCCCAACAGCAGAGAACAUACUGCAGGCACAGCACAGACACACCAAAGCAGUCAGAACAGGUAGCAGCAGGACAUGUUUUCCAGAUUACCAUUAAAAGGAGCCUAGACCAGCUCCUGCAUUUCAGCCAGGAACAGCUUCAAAAGGCCAUUUUGGCACAGAACGUGAAGUAAUUUGGAAGCAGGGUAGAGGUGGGUGUCUAGUUGCAUCAGAGACAUUCAGAGACUGAACAGACUCUGGAGGCUCUGGAAAACUGAAGGUUUUUAAACACCCCAAGUUUGUUAGCAUGCUUUUAGGAGUGGAAAUUAUUGCUGUGCAGAGAUGAAAAACAUAAGCCAUAUUAAGCCAUGUUCAGAUAAAGGAGCUACAAUCAGAGAAGGCAACUGAACAGGUCAGGGCUGUAAAUGUGCUCAAGCAGGUGGUGCUGUCAGGACAAUGAGACCUGAAGUAACAAUAACCUUAGCCACAAAAGCAGAGAUACUAGGAAGGCAGCUGAACAGAUGUGGAAGGUGGAUGAGACUGGCCUAAGAAUCCUGGACGAAAAUCUGGUCUUGAUAUCUGACUUUGACAUUGACCUUCUCUGCCUUCUGGGGAAUUCAUCUUGGUUGAGUUCCCUC